GAUGAAGAACGCAGCGAAAUGCGAUAAGUAAUGUGAAUUGCAGAAUUCAGUGAAUCAUCGAAUCUUUGAACGCACAUUGCGCCCGCCAGUAGUCUGGCGGGCAUGCCUGUUCGAGCGUCAUUUCAACCCUCAAGCACAGCUUGGUGUUGGGACUCGCGUUAAUUCGCGUUCCCCAAAUUGAUUGGCGGUCACGUCGAGCUUCCAUAGCGUAGUAGUAAAACCCUCGUUACUGGUAAUCGUCGCGGCCACGCCGUUAAACCCCAACUUCUGAAUGUUGACCUCGGAUCAGGUAGGAAUACCCGCUGAACUUAAGCAUAUCAAUAAGCGGAGGA
RNAcentral lists this unclassified non-coding RNA (332 nucleotides) under soil metagenome. RNAcentral's name for it is "partial contains 5.8S ribosomal RNA, internal transcribed spacer 2, and large subunit ribosomal RNA". The stretch from base 1 to 120 matches the Rfam family "5.8S ribosomal RNA", at positions 35 to 154 of the family's 154-position model. The record is from RNAcentral.